Molecule: ribosomal RNA, 1539 nt
Filed under: metagenome
Description: bacterial SSU rRNA
Rfam family: Bacterial small subunit ribosomal RNA
Source: RNAcentral
AGAGUUUGAUCAUGGCUCAGAACGAACGCUGGCGACGUGGAUUAGGCAUGCAAGUCGAACGGGAUUCUUAAGUUUCAAUCUUUCGGGAGAGAAACUUUUGAUGAGAGUGGCGAACGGGUGAGGAACACGUGGGUAAGCUACCUUUAAGCUGGGGAUAGCCCUCCGAAAGGAGGGGUAACACCGAAUGUGGUAUUCCAACGCAUGUUGGAUGAUCUAAAGAUGGGGAUCUUCGGACCUAUCACUUAAAGAUGUGCCCGCGUACUAUCAGCUUGUUGGUGAGGUAACGGCUCACCAAGGCUCUGACGGUUAGCUGGUCUGAGAGGAUGGUCAGCCACACUGGGACUGAGACACUGCCCAGACUCCUACGGGAGGCUGCAGUCGAGAAUCAUUCGCAAUGCACGAAAGUGUGACGAUGCGACGUCGCGUGGAGGAUGAAGGCCCUCGGGUCGUAAACUCCUGUCAGAAGGGAACAAUAGCUUCACGCUUAAUACGCGUGGAGUGUGAUGGUACCUUCAGAGGAAGCCACGGCUAACUCUGUGCCAGCAGCCGCGGUAAUACAGAGGUGGCAAGCGUUGUUCGGGUUUACUGGGCGUAAAGGGUGUGUAGGCGGCUUUGUGUGUCGAAUGUGAAAGCCCACGGCUCAACCGUGGAAAUGCAUCCGAAACUACAAAGCUAGAGUACUGGAGAGGAGAGCGGAAUUCUCGGUGUAGCGGUGAAAUGCGUUGAUAUCGAGAAGAACACCGGUGGCGAAGGCGGCUCUCUGGACAGAUACUGACGCUGAGACACGAAAGCUGGGGGAGCGAACAGGAUUAGAUACCCUGGUAGUCCCAGCCGUAAACGUUGUGUACUUGGUGUGGGGGGAGUUGUCCCUUCCGUGCCGUAGCUAACGCGUUAAGUACACCGCCUGGGGAGUACGGCCGCAAGGCUAAAACUCAAAGGAAUUGACGGGGGCCCGCACAAGCGGUGGAGCAUGUGGCUUAAUUCGAUGCAACGCGAAGAACCUUACCAGGGCUUGACAUGUAACUGCAAAUCUCCAGAAACGGAGACUCCUUCGAGGGUGUUACACAGGUGCUGCAUGGCUGUCGUCAGCUCGUGCCGUGAGGUGUUGGGUUAAGUCCCGCAACGAGCGCAACCCUUGUGAUUAGUUGCUAACAGGAGCGAAAGCUUGCUGAGAACUCUAAUCAGACUGCCGGUGACAAGCCGGAGGAAGGUGGGGAUGACGUCAAGUCAGUAUGGUCCUUACGCCCUGGGCUGCACACGUGCUACAAUGGUCGGUAUAGAGGGAUGCAAAGCCGCGAGGUGGAGCAAAUCCAUAAAACCGGCCUCAGUUCGGAUCGAAGUCUGAAACUCGACUUCGUGAAGUUGGAAUCGCUAGUAAAGGCGUAUCAGCUACGACGCCUUGAAUACGUUCCCGGGCCUUGUACACACCGCCCGUCACAUCACGAAAGCCGAUUGCACCCGAAGUCGCUGAGUUAACCCCUUUGGGGAUACAGGUGCCGAAGGUGUGAUUGGUGAUUGGGAUGAAGUCGUAACAAGGUA